CCUACGGGUGGCAGCAGUGGGGAAUAUUGCACAAUGGGGGGAACCCUGAUGCAGCGACGCCGCGUGGGUGAAGGAGUACUUCGGUACGUAAAGCCCUAUCAGCAGGAAAGAAAAUGACGGUACCUGACUAAGAAGCCCCGGCUAACUACGUGCCAGCAGCCGCGGUAAUACGUAGGGGGCAAGCGUUAUCCGGAUUUACUGGGUGUAAAGGGAGCGCAGACGGCGAUGCAAGCCAGGAGUGAAAGCCCGGGGCCCAACCCCGGGACUGCUCUUGGAACUGCGUGGCUGGAGUGCAGGAGGGGCAGGCGGAAUUCCUGGUGUAGCGGUGAAAUGCGUAGAUAUCAGGAGGAACACCGGUGGCGAAGGCGGCCUGCUGGACUGCAACUGACGUUGAGGCCCGAAAGCGUGGGGAGCAAACAGGAUUAGAUACCCGAGUAGUC
This 440-nucleotide ribosomal RNA is filed under the name uncultured bacterium. RNAcentral describes it as "partial 16S ribosomal RNA". It matches the Rfam family "Bacterial small subunit ribosomal RNA", at positions 338 to 795 of the family's 1533-position model. The record is from RNAcentral.